This 506-nucleotide ribosomal RNA is filed under the name uncultured bacterium. RNAcentral describes it as "partial 16S ribosomal RNA". It matches the Rfam family "Bacterial small subunit ribosomal RNA", at positions 28 to 523 of the family's 1533-position model. The record is from RNAcentral.
GAUGAACGCUAGCGGCAGGCCUAACACAUGCAAGUCGAGGGGUAACUAGAGUGAUAGCAAUAUUACUUUGGCUAGACCGGCGCACGGGUGCGUAACACGUAUGCAACCUACCUUAUACUGGGGAAUAACUUCGAGAAAUCGGCGCUAAUACCCCAUAACACUGCGGAGAGGCAUCUCUUUGCAGUUAAAGCUCCGGCGGUAUAAGAUGGGCAUGCGUCCAAUUAGCUAGUUGGUGAGGUAACGGCUCACCAAGGCUACGAUUGGUAGGGGUUCUGAGAGGAUGAUCCCCCACACUGGUACUGAGACACGGACCAGACUCCUACGGGAGGCAGCAGUGAGGAAUAUUGCGCAAUGGACGAAAGUCUGACGCAGCCAUGCCGCGUGCAGGAUGACGGCCCUAUGGGUUGUAAACUGCUUUUGUACGGGAAUAGACCCUUCCACGUGUAGGAGGCUGAAGGUACCGUAAGAAUAAGCACCGGCUAACUCCGUGCCAGCAGCCGCGGUAA